UACAGGGGGUGCAAACGUUGCUCGGAAUCAUUGGGCGUAAAGCGCACGUAGGCGGACUUUUAAGUCAGGGGUGAAAUCCUGGAGCUCAACUCCAGAACUGCCUUUGAUACUGGAAGUCUUGAGUCCGGAAGAGGUAAGUGGAACUGCGAGUGUAGAGGUGAAAUUCGUAGAUAUUCGCAAGAACACCAGUGGCGAAGGCGGCUUACUGGUCCGGUACUGACGCUGAGGUGCGAAAGCGUGGGGAGCAAACAGGG
Molecule: ribosomal RNA, 254 nt
Filed under: uncultured bacterium
Lineage: Bacteria
Description: partial 16S ribosomal RNA
Rfam family: Bacterial small subunit ribosomal RNA
Source: RNAcentral